RNAcentral lists this ribosomal RNA (253 nucleotides) under uncultured bacterium. RNAcentral describes it as "partial 16S ribosomal RNA". It matches the Rfam family "Bacterial small subunit ribosomal RNA", at positions 524 to 776 of the family's 1533-position model. The record is from RNAcentral.
UACGUAGGCAGCGAGCGUUGUUCGGAGUUACUGGGCGUAAAGAGUGCGUAGGCGGUUUUCUAAGUUUGGUGUGAAAUCUCCCGGCUUAACUGGGGGGGUGCGCCGAAAACUGGAAGGCUUGAGUAUGGGAGAGGUAAGCGGAAUUCCUGGUGUAGCGGUGAAAUGCGUAGAUAUCAGGAGGAACACCUGCGGUGUAGACGGCUUACUGGACCAUAACUGACGCUGAGGCACGAAAGCGUGGGUAGCAAACAGG